RNAcentral lists this ribosomal RNA (234 nucleotides) under uncultured bacterium. RNAcentral describes it as "partial 16S ribosomal RNA". It matches the Rfam family "Bacterial small subunit ribosomal RNA", at positions 104 to 334 of the family's 1533-position model. The record is from RNAcentral.
CGGGGUGGAGUAACGCGUGGGUAACCGUGCCUUGUACAGGGGGAUAACAGUUGGAAACGGCUGCUAAUACCGCAUAAGCGCACGGCAUCGCAUGAUGCAGUGUGAAAAACUCCGGUGGUAUAAGAUGGACCCGCGUUGGAUUAGCUAGUUGGUGAGGUAACGGCCCACCAAGGCGACGAUCCAUAGCCGACCUGAGAGGGUGACCGGCCACAUUGGGACUGAGACACGGCCCAA